Molecule: long non-coding RNA, 421 nt
Organism: Mastomys coucha (southern multimammate mouse)
Lineage: Eukaryota; Metazoa; Chordata; Mammalia; Rodentia; Muridae
Exons: 5
Source: RefSeq, a predicted model, not a curated record
CCCAAACAACCAGAACAAACCACAAAAGAGAGAUGGUCACUUAGUGAGAAAACAGGACUGAGUGGGGGAGUGCUUGAGCCUGCCACUUGCAGCUAUGAUGAAUGAUGGGCUGAACUGCUCUGCUCCCCCACUCUGCAGCUGGCAGAUGGAGUGCUGAAGUGGCCUCUGGGACUGAAACAUCUGGGAGAGGAAGCCUUUGCUACAGGGUGCAUGGGAACUGGAUCAACGACUCUUCAUAACUUCUUCAAGCUGAACAUGGGUGAUGAGAUAUUGUGGUGGGGGGAAGAAAAUAGAAUUUAUCAGUCUCCUGAUGUCUGUGUUUUGACUGGAUCCAGUUGAAGUCUGGAGUUCAGAAUAACUCAAAAAAGGAGAAAAUGGAAAUACACAGCUGUUAAAUAAAAGUUUUCUAACUUCAGGCUAA